Long non-coding RNA from Carcharodon carcharias (great white shark), 1230 nucleotides. RefSeq lists it as uncharacterized. The transcript is spliced from 5 exons. The record is from RefSeq and is a predicted model, not a curated record. Lineage: Eukaryota; Metazoa; Chordata; Chondrichthyes; Lamniformes; Lamnidae.
CCUAACUGAAUUGGCUUAAGCAGCAUGCCGGUAGAUAUAGAGGCUGGAGUCCAUUAGCUUUCUAGCGAGGCUCCAACACAAACUGUUGAUACUCCUCCCACCACAGCCUAAGAAAUUGUGGCAGAGGCGGGGUCAAAAAUCAAAGGACACAAACUUAACGGUGAUUAGCUGAAGAGCCAGAGGUGACAUCAGGAAACGUUUUUCCGAGCAGUGAGCUGUUACGACCCGGACUGCACUGAACGAAAGGAAUGAGCGAAACCAGAAAAUCCACCUGUAAUUCUUUCUGCCAACCACUGGAUACCAGCACUGCAGUCGCUUCUGCUUGGUUCCCGGAUCUCUCCAAGGAAAGGCACCUCAAUAUCAUGGAUAUCAACUGCCUCAUGGAACUUGCCACUUUUCAAAAGCUCCCCUUUCAGUACCCUGCCUGAUGAGAAUAUCAUCUACGCAGCAACCCAUCGCAUACACCAACGAAUUGACCUGCUCACUGCUCUCCUUCGAAGCAAGGCCCAACACAGUUCAAUAUCUGGAAAAUCUCUGAUACUAAUUGAGCCAUGCUUCUGCUUGGUUGGGGCCUGUGACUUCCUCAAAGCUUUCCAGUAAAGAUGCUGCCGGACCAGCUGAGCAUUUUCUGUUUUUAUAACAAAAGGAAACGUUCUUCUCAUUAUCACAUGACGAUUUGCUGUUUGCACAUUGGCUGCCAUGUUUCUUACAUUCCAAAAGUGAUGACACUCCAGAAAGAACUCCAUCGCCCGUGAGGCACUAUGAGCCACCCUGAACCAUGGGGUGGGGGGGUAAAAAGCGAUAUAUAAAUGCAAGCCUUUUUCUCAAAGUGAGAAAUCUUGAUUUGCCCUCAAAUUGUGUAAGAGGGGGAGGUUUUUAGAGUGGAAAUGUGAAAUUAUGGAACAGGACGUGUGGGGUCUGAGAUCAGGGGAUCGAGGGUGGGACUCAGCUGAAAGUCGGGAGCCAAAGGAAUGAGGUCUCGCAGCUUGGAGACUUCAUUAUAGCUUAAGUGCAAUAUAAUUACAGGGGAAAACACAAUCAUUUAAUCAGACUGCAUCCUGAGGCUAUAUUACUCCACAUAACCUUCAAAUCAAGGUUCUAAGACCGAAGCAUCAUCAAAAGAAAUAAUUUUGAUGUUACAGAAAACUAAGGGAUGUUUUAUUCCAUAAAGUAAAUGGAAGUUAAAUUUCUGCCGUGAAAGAUCAGCCAAAUAUUGUGGAUUGCCGUUUU